Molecule: ribosomal RNA, 497 nt
Filed under: uncultured bacterium
Lineage: Bacteria
Description: partial 16S ribosomal RNA
Rfam family: Bacterial small subunit ribosomal RNA
Source: RNAcentral
GAUGAACGCUGGCGGCGUGCCUAAUACAUGCAAGUCGAGCGAACAGACGAGGAGCUUGCUCCUCUGACGUUAGCGGCGGACGGGUGAGUAACACGUGGAUAACCUACCUAUAAGACUGGGAUAACUUCGGGAAACCGGAGCUAAUACCGGAUAAUAUAUUGAACCGCAUGGUUCAAUAGUGAAAGACGGUUUUGCUGUCACUUAUAGAUGGAUCCGCGCCGCAUUAGCUAGUUGGUAAGGUAACGGCUUACCAAGGCGACGAUGCGUAGCCGACCUGAGAGGGUGAUCGGCCACACUGGAACGGAGACACGGUCCAGACUCCUACGGGAGGCAGCAGUAGGGAAUCUUCCGCAAAGGGCGAAAGCUUGACGGAGCAACGCCGCGUGAGUGAUGAAGGUCUUCGGAUCGUAAAACUCUGUUAUUAGGGAAGAACAAAUGUGUAAGUAACUAUGCACGUCUUGACGGUACCUAAUCAGAAAGCCACGGCUAACUACGUG